UCCCAAUCUAUCGUGCGAGUGU
Molecule: microRNA, 22 nt
Filed under: Gadus morhua (Atlantic cod)
Lineage: Eukaryota; Metazoa; Chordata; Actinopteri; Gadiformes; Gadidae
Description: gmo-miR-11221-3p
Source: miRBase by way of RNAcentral